UUGUGUUCGGCCUGUCACUGUCUGCGUCUGGUAUUCUAGCUGAUAGUUGUUGAUUAUUCCACUUAUCUUUGUCAUGUUUUCAGAUCUUUCCAAGAGAAAUGGAGCUUUUUUUAUUGCUAGCUGGAAGAGUCAUUGUCCACUGCUAUACCUUCUUAUCCUUUUUUUGCUGGCUAAACAGAAUCACGUAUUUGAUCUUUGCAGGGCGGAUGGCAAAUUGACAGAGACGCAAUGACAGCGAGACAGAUCAUGGAUAUAUACCGGUGGCUGCAUUUCACCAUCAUCCCCCUCCACGGCUCCCAUGGGCUUGACUGCAGCACCUCUACACAUAUUAUCCGAUUCCCAUGGCCAUCUCUGGACACAGAAAAGGAUGAGCAAUGCCUUGUGGCAGCGGCACCGGUAGGGAGCCCCGGUGAAUCAGCUUCAGAGACAAGAUCGGACACACAGCCAUGGCAUGCUGCCAUUCUCUGUACUCCGAGCCGAACCGUGCAUGAACAGCACGGGCCACCAUCGCUGGCGCAGAGAUUGGCUGCGUAGGUGAUUGAGGACAUGUGAUGUGUGGGGACGCGGCAAGUUGCGCUGCCGCUACAGAACUGCGUGCACCAAGCCACCAAAGCAUUGUGGGGUUCAGUGUUUGUAUGUGAGCCGUCUAAAGGAACAGGUCGGCAAAUGGCACUGGCCGUUUGCCAUGUGAGCUAACUGUUGUCGGGCGAGGAGAAGACGGCUGCAGGACGACGGCGGUUUUCCGGUGAACUGUGGGCCGGUACACAUGCAUGCAUAUGGAUCGGAGCUGCUGAUGCUAUGCACAAAAGGUCACAGGAUUUUCGGGGUUGCAUGCAGGAAAACGAUAUGAGAUAAUGAAUGUCGUGGCCAAGGCCAAGGCUCACAUGAUAACGGUGAUCCUUGUCCUCCCACAGCCGCAUGAGCUGCUGCAUUAUGAUCGUUAUCCGGUACUGGGAAUUUAUGAGGCUUUGUCACUUUCUGAACAAGCUGGCAAGUCCAUUCCCGUUGGAAAAAAAAGAAAAACAAAUGAAAAUCAUGGUAUUUCCUCCCCUACAUUAUUACAUAUGCCAGGCUUAAAUUAGCUAAGACGGUGGAAGAACGAAAAAUCUGAUGAUUGGGCAUAUAUGGCACCGAAGGGCAGGCCAUGCUAGAUUUCUCGGCCUGCAGUGAAUAUACUCCGGAGAUUGGGCUGGGCCUAAACAUUAUCUACAGAAAGGGUCAAUAGCAUACUCUCUCUAGUCUCUAGCAAGAAAAAAAGCCCAGCAAGGCAGCACCCAGAAGUUGAGUUCUUAAAUUCUAAUCCCGCGUUUGCAGAAGUUGAGAAAGAUGGUCGCCUUCUGCUGAGUGCUGACGAGAGAUGCGCACUGCUUCGCAUCAAAAUGAAGUACUUCCUGAAGCUGUUGGUUUCACGAGCUUCCAACAGGCCAGGGGGAAAUACCUAUGGGGCGCAAUAGGUACACUUUCACAUCCAUUUCCCAGUAUUUUGUUCCCUUCAAGCGCAAAUAGGGAAAUGGUCACGAGCUCUGCAGCUAAACAAAGUUCAGAACCUUUCCAUCAGCAAUUCCACAAAGAAAAGGGAUGGCAAAGUUCCAAGCCUAACAAAAAUCACAAAAAAGAUGCAGAACCUUACUGCUAGACAGCUAGAGAGUCCGUGAUGAGCUGAGCUCAGUGCUGCACUGCUGCCUAUAUGGAUGGAUAGUACAGCAGACAUGUUGGCAGACGCGAUGGAGAAAGAAACAUGCAUGCGAGUGCUGUGGAUCCUGGAAAGGGAGCCAAAAGGAGGCGGGCGUGAUCCACAAAUCCCAAUAAAAGCGUAGCAGUUGAGAGUGAGGUCAUGCAAAAGUGACCAAUCCUUGUCCUCUUCGAUCAAGAGCACCUGUCGACCUCAAUGAUGCCAUUCAUAUGUUCGUUUACAGUGGUAAAAAAAGCUCGUGACAGUUCAGUUCAUUUAAAAGAUUGCAAUGAAGAAUGAACAGUGACGCCGGCAACUUGCACCCGCAGCAUCUUGAUACUACAAGUUUAGGGACUAUGGAUUGAUUGCGAUGAUUCCCUCCUCCCGUGCAAAAGAUCGCAGAAGAUGUUGGUGAUUUUGGGGAUAUAUUUCGACCGGGUUCAGGACACCAGGACAGCCCUGGCGAAGGGAAUCUCUCCCCGUUUCUGAAAGCGCAUCAGUGCUGUGCUGAUCGAUGAUGGAUGGCAUUCUACUACACGGGCUGGUGACGUGAUACCCGGCCUAUCCAAAGCUCUCUGACAUCAGUGAUGCAAUUCUGCCCCAAUGUCCCGAUGCAAUUGCCCAUCAGGUGUGAGGUGCCCAUGGCUCUGCCCGAUGGUUCGUGGCUCUGCCGGGUGGCCAAGACGCAGCUGAUGCGAUUUUUUGGAGUUUCGGUGCAGCCGCAUGAAGCUCGAGGUUUCCACCAUGGCCUUCUGGGCGAGACAUGCGGCGAUGUGCUGCCCUCAGUGGUGGUGGUUGGGUACAAACUAGAGCUCCGAAACUAGAUAAUUCUUUCGAGUCUUACAUG
Panicum hallii is the source of this 2519-nucleotide long non-coding RNA. RefSeq lists it as uncharacterized. The transcript is spliced from 6 exons. Lineage: Eukaryota; Viridiplantae; Streptophyta; Magnoliopsida; Poales; Poaceae. The record is from RefSeq and is a predicted model, not a curated record.